This 1117-nucleotide long non-coding RNA is filed under the name Homo sapiens (human). RNAcentral describes it as "HSALNT0035115". The record is from RNAcentral. Lineage: Eukaryota; Metazoa; Chordata; Mammalia; Primates; Hominidae.
GGGCUCGCUCUGUCACCCAGGUCGGAGUGUAAUGGUGUGAUCACAGCUCACUGCAGCCUCAACCUUCUGGGCUCAAGUGAUCCUUAUGCCUCAGCCUCCUGAGCAACUGGGACUACAGGCAUGUGCCACCAUGCCCAGGUAAUUUAUUGUUUUUUUGUCUGUUUGUUUGUUUGCUUGUAGAGACAGUGUCUUCCUAUGUUGCUCAGGCUGGUCUCAAACUCCUAAACUUGAGCGAUCUUCCCAUCUUGACCUCACAAAGUGCUGGGAUUACAGAUGUGAGCUGCUACACCCGGUCUGAACUUGGAAUUAAUUCCGUACUCUUAUCGCUGAAUAAAGGCAUUGAAAGUUAUGGUUACAAGUACAAAUAACUGUCUAGAAAGGGGGCAAACACUUCAUUACUAACCAUUCACAUCAUGGUUUAUUUAACAGGACUCAAAGGAGAUAGGAGAUUCCAGGAUAAAGAAUAUAUAUUAAUCACACUUUAGAGUACAGUGAAGACUUUCACAAGCAUUAUCUUGAUCCUUAGAGCAAUGCAGAGGGCCUUAUGAUUAUCACUCUCUUACAGGAGGAAGGCUAAAGUGUUCUCUGAAGCUGGACUCCUUUGGGAAUUCAGAGCUUUCCUGGCUCACCCCCCACGCACAGUGCACACGCACUUAGCAGUUUGUACACCAUGACCAGAGAUGCACAGAUCCAAGGCUGCCCAUCUAAGAACCUCAGCUGGAAAACCCAGGACCCAGAAUGAGUCUGGGUGACCACGCCUCACCCCUUUCCCUCAGACCUCUCUGGGAAGAACAAGAGACUGAGCAAGGCCACCCCCUGUCCUACCCCCAACUCAGAUCACGUCUCUAGUAUACAAUGUUAAAAUAAAUCACUGUUAAAAAAAUUACUGGGAGGAGGUUGGAUGCGGCAGCUCACGCCUGUAAUCCCAGCACUUUGGGAGGCCAAGGUGGGCAGAUCACCUGAGGUCUGGAGUUCGAGACCAGCCUGGCCAACGUGGUGAAACCCCGUCUCCACUAAAAAUACAAAAAUUAGCCAGGUGUAGUGGCAGCUGCCUGUAAUCUCAGCUACUCAGGAGGUUGAGGUAGGAGAAUCACUUGAACCAGGGAGGCAGAGAUUG